RNAcentral lists this ribosomal RNA (198 nucleotides) under uncultured bacterium. RNAcentral describes it as "partial 16S ribosomal RNA". It matches the Rfam family "Bacterial small subunit ribosomal RNA", at positions 1303 to 1500 of the family's 1533-position model. The record is from RNAcentral.
GGCUGCAACUCGCCUACAUGAAGUCGGAGUUGCUAGUAAUCGCGGAUCAGAAUGCCGCGGUGAAUACGUUCCCGGGUCUUGUACACACCGCCCGUCACACCAUGGGAGCCUGGAAUGCCCGAAGCCGGUGGCCGAACCGAGAGGGCGGAGCCGCCUAAGGCAGGCCCGGUGACUGGGGUGAAGUCGUAACAAGGUACC